GAUGAAGAACGUAGCGAAAUGCGAUAAGUAAUGUGAAUUGCAGAAUUCAGUGAAUCAUCGAAUCUUUGAACGCACAUUGCGCCCGCCGGCAUUCCGGCGGGCAUGCCUGUUCGAGCGUCAUUUCAACCCUCAAGCACUGCUUGGUGUUGGGGCUCUACGCGUCCAGCGUAGGCCCUGAAAAUCAGUGGCGGGCUCGCCAUCGGUUCGGGCGCAGUAGCGAUAUCUCGCCCGGGACUGGUGACGUGCUCCGGCCGUUAAACCCCCCAAACCACUGAAUGUUGACCUCGGAUCAGGUAGGAAUACCCGCUGAACUUAAGCAUAUCAAUAAGCGGAGGA
RNAcentral lists this unclassified non-coding RNA (336 nucleotides) under soil metagenome. Its description in RNAcentral is "partial contains 5.8S ribosomal RNA, internal transcribed spacer 2, and large subunit ribosomal RNA". The stretch from base 1 to 120 matches the Rfam family "5.8S ribosomal RNA", at positions 35 to 154 of the family's 154-position model. The record is from RNAcentral.